This 331-nucleotide ribosomal RNA is filed under the name uncultured bacterium. Its description in RNAcentral is "bacterial SSU rRNA". It matches the Rfam family "Bacterial small subunit ribosomal RNA", at positions 28 to 334 of the family's 1533-position model. The record is from RNAcentral.
GACGAACGCUGGCGGCGUGCCUAAUACAUGCAAGUCGAGCGAGCGGAACCAACAGAUUUACUUCGGUAAUGACGUUGGGAAAGCGAGCGGCGGAUGGGUGAGUAACACGUGGGGAACCUGCCCCAAGUCUGGGAUACCAUUUGGAAACAGGUGCUAAUACCGGAUAAUAAAGCAGAUCGCAUGAUCAGCUUUUGAAAGGCGGCGUAAGCUGUCGCUAAGGGAUGGCCCCGCGGUGCAUUAGCUAGUUGGUAAGGUAACGGCUUACCAAGGCGACGAUGCAUAGCCGAGUUGAGAGACUGAUCGGCCACAUUGGGACUGAGACACGGCCCAA